RNAcentral lists this ribosomal RNA (253 nucleotides) under uncultured bacterium. RNAcentral's name for it is "partial 16S ribosomal RNA". It matches the Rfam family "Bacterial small subunit ribosomal RNA", at positions 524 to 776 of the family's 1533-position model. The record is from RNAcentral.
UACGAGGGGGGCGAGCGUUGUUCGGAAUUACUGGGCGUAAAGGGCGCGUAGGCGGCCAUCUAAGUCAGACGUGAAAUCCCCCGGCUUAACCUGGGAACUGCGUCUGAUACUGGACGGCUUGAGUAUGGGAGAGGGAUGUAGAAUUCCAGGUGUAGCGGUGAAAUGCGUAGAUAUCUGGAGGAAUACCGGUGGCGAAGGCGGCAUCCUGGACCAUUACUGACGCUGAGGCGCGAAAGCUAGGGGAGCAAACGGG